RNAcentral lists this ribosomal RNA (413 nucleotides) under Neosalanx sp. D01. RNAcentral's name for it is "partial 16S ribosomal RNA". It matches the Rfam family "Bacterial large subunit ribosomal RNA", at positions 1997 to 2560 of the family's 2925-position model. RNAcentral also lists the same sequence under 8 other names. Lineage: Eukaryota; Metazoa; Chordata; Actinopteri; Osmeriformes; Salangidae. The record is from RNAcentral.
UGGCUAGACGAGGGCUUAACUGUCUCCUCCCCCCAGUCAAUGAAAUUGAUCUCCCCGUGCAGAAGCGGGGAUACACCCAUAAGACGAGAAGACCCUAUGGAGCUUUAGACACUAGACAGCCCACGUUACACCCCCUCCCCUAAGAAGGAAAAACACUGUGGCCCCUGCCUCCCCUGUCUUCGGUUGGGGCGACCGCGGAGGAUAAAAGAGCCUCCAUGUGGACCAAGGUUACUAACCUCAAAACUAAGGGCCACUGCCCUAAGCAACAGAAAAUCUGACCAGAAUGAUCCGGCGAAUGCCGAUUAACGGAACAAGUUACCCUAGGGAUAACAGCGCAAUCCUCUCCCAGAGUCCCUAUCGACGAGGGGGUUUACGACCUCGAUGUUGGAUCAGGACAUCCUAUUGGUGCAGCC